Molecule: long non-coding RNA, 2064 nt
Filed under: Manacus vitellinus (golden-collared manakin)
Lineage: Eukaryota; Metazoa; Chordata; Aves; Passeriformes; Pipridae
Description: lncRNA (ENSMVIG00005001329.1)
Source: RNAcentral
CCUCAAUUUUGGGAUCUCCCCAUUUUUGGGGUCCCCCCUUAAUUUUGGGGUCUGUCCCCAUUGCUCCCCCCCCUCAAUUUUGGGGUUCCCUCCCCCAAUUUUGGGGUUCCCCUCCUCAAUUUUGGGGUCUCCCCGUUUUUGGGGUCUCCCCAAUUUUGGGGUCCCUGAACACAACGCUUGGAGGGGUCCCCCCCAAAAUUUUGGGGGGGUGUUCCCCAAUAAUGCCCUGGGGGGGGUCCCCAAAAUCCUGGGGGGUCCCCAAUGAUGUCCCGGAGGUCCCAGAUUUCGGGGUCCCCCCCAUUUUUGGGGUCUCACUCCCCAUUUUUGGGGUCCUCGAUGAUGUCCUGGGGGGUCCUUGAUAUCCUGGGGGUCCCAGAUUUUGGGGUCCCCCCCAUUUUCGGGGUCCUCGAUGUCCAGGGGGGUCCUCAAUGAUGUCCCAGAGGUCCCAGAUUUUGGGGUCCCCCCCAUUUUUGGGCUCCCAGAUUUUGGGAUCCCCCAUUUUUGGGGUCUCUCUCCCCAUUUUUGGGGUCCUCGAUGUCCUGGAGGUCCCAGAUUUCGGGGUCCCCCCCAAUUUUUGGGGUCCUCGACGUCCUGGGGGAUCUCCAAUGACAUCCUGGGGGUCGCAGAUUUUGGGGUCCCCCCCAUUUUCAGGGUCCCAGAUUUUGGGGUCCCCCCAUUUUGGGUCCCGUUUUUGGGGGGUGCCCUCCCCGUUUUUGGGGGGGGUCCCUGCGUUUUUGGGGGUUUCCGGGGUCAGCAGCACCUCCAGGAACAGCGGGGGCCGCGUUGGGGGGGACCCGGGGAGGUGGGUUGCAUGGCGGCCGGGUGCAGCAGCGCCACCCGGGGGGGGGGGCGGGGACCCCGCACUGGUAACGGGGGAAGUGCCACCCCCCGGCCUGCGGGAGAGAGGGAGAGACCAGUUAGAACCAGUUAGAACCAGUAUAAACCAGUUAAAACCAGUAUGGACCAGUAUGAACCAGUAUGAGCCAGUAUGGACCAGUAACACACCCCCAGUGCCACCCCCCGGCCUGUGGGAGAGACACACACACCAGUUAGAACCAGUAUAGACCAGUAUAAACCAGUAUAAACCAGUAUAAACCAGUUAAAACCAGUAUAAACCAGUAUAGACCAGUAUGGACCAGUAUGAGCCAGUGUGGACCAGUAACACAUCCCCCCCCCGGUAACGGGGGAAGUGCCACCCCCCGGCCUGUGGGAGAGACACAGGGACCAGUUAGAACCAGUAUAGACCAGUUAAAACCAGUAUAAACCAGUUAAAACCAGAUAAAACCAGUAUAAACCAGUAUGGACCAGUAUAGACCAGUAUAGACCAAUAUCAACCAAUAUAGACCAGUAUAGACCAGUAACACACCCCUCACUCUGCAGGAAAGAGACACCAGUUAAAACCAAUAUGGACCAGUUAAAACCAGUAUAAACCAGUUAAAAGCAGUAUAAACCACUAUGGACCAGUAUAAACCAGUAUAAACCAGUAUGGACCAGUAUAGACCAGUAACACACCCUCAGUGCCACCCCCCGGCCUGUGGGAGAGACACACACACCAGUUAGAACCAGUAUAGACCAGUAUAAACCAGUAUAAACCAGUUAAAACCAGAAGAGACCAGUAUAAACCAAUAUGGACCAGUACGGACCAGUAUAGACCAGUAACACAUCCCCCCCCCGGUAACGGGGGAAGUGCCACCCCCCGGCCUGUGGGAGAGACACAGGGACCAGUUAGAACCAGUUAAAACCAGUAUAAAACAGUAUAAACCAGUUAAAACCAGAUAAAACCAGUAUAAACCAGUAUAGACCAGUAUGGACCACUAUGAGCCAGUAUGGACCAGUAACACACCCCCAGUGCCACCCCCCGGCCUGUGGGAGGGACACACACACCAGUUAGAACCAGUAUAGACCAGUAUAAACCAGUAUAAACCAAUAUAAACCAGUAUAAACCAGUUAAAACCAGUAUAGACCAGUAUGAACCAGUAUGAGCCAGUAUAGACCAGUAACACAUCCCCCCCCCGGUAACGGGGGAAGUGCCACCCCCCGGCCUGUGGGAGAGACACAGGGACC